GGGGCUGAUUCUGGAUUCGACGGGAUUUGCGAAACCCAAGGUGCAUGCCGAGGGGCGGUUGGCCUCGUAAAAAGCCGCAAAAAAAUAGUCGCAAACGACGAAAACUACGCUUUAGCAGCUUAAUAACCUGCUUAGAGCCCUCUCUCCCUAGCCUCCGCUCUUAGGACGGGGAUCAAGAGAGGUCAAACCCAAAAGAGAUCGCGCGGAUGCCCUGCCUGGGGUUGAAGCGUUAAAACGAAUCAGGCUAGUCUGGUAGUGGCGUGUCCGUCCGCAGGUGCCAGGCGAAUGUAAAGACAGACUAAGCAUGUAGUACCGAGGAUGUAGGAAUUUCGGACGCGGGUUCA
This 344-nucleotide transfer-messenger RNA is filed under the name Salmonella enterica. RNAcentral describes it as "partial transfer-messenger RNA". It matches the Rfam family "transfer-messenger RNA". Rfam says of the family: Bacterial tmRNA, also known as 10Sa RNA or SsrA, is named for its dual tRNA and mRNA-like properties. The record is from RNAcentral. Lineage: Bacteria; Pseudomonadati; Pseudomonadota; Gammaproteobacteria; Enterobacterales; Enterobacteriaceae.